UGAUAUGUGAAAUAUCGAUAACAAAUGUGGAAAUCGAACACGCCUUUUUGAUAUUUUAUCGAUGUGAAAUCGAAACGGAGCUCACCACAGCAAACAUUGAAAAUAAAAAUGCUUUGGAAUGGCACUACUUAUUUUUAAAAAUCAUUCUGCUUUAAUUUUAUGAUAAUUGCUCUAUUAUUGAUAUUUUGGUGGUUAUUGUUUGUUUAUAUUCUGCGCAGCUGUUUGGCAUCAGAACGGCCACACUAAAAAAUUUACCGUUGCCCAUUUUUUUUGCAUUUGUUGUGCCUGUGGAUAUGAGUGGUUUGUGGGAACAGGGCAUUACAUGGGGAAAAAUGUAACAUUUUAACUGAUUGGAAAAGAACUGAGAAUAGUUAAGUUUUUGGUGCUGUGAAAAAGUUUUGGUACCUAUACCGACAUUUUCGUGUUUCGAUGCUACAGCUUUCACAAGUUUUUGGUCAACGUAUUGCUGUCGGAACGUUUCAUUUCUUACUACUGAAACAGCUGGUCAGAAGUAAACAACGCGAACAAACGCAUUUCGUAUUUUUUGCGUGGGUAGAACUCAUAUAGGAAUGAUCCCAUCCUGCUUAGAUGAAAAAAAACUCGUUCGGUUACAUGCUGGUAUGUCAUACGACUACGGGAGUCUGAAACAAUACUCUUUAUGGCAGAAGCCUACGGUUCAGAUGAAACCGACCUAGGCAUGAUUAAGCAACUUAAUGCCACCUUCGCACAGUGGAUCCGCUUGUAUGGAAGAGCGGCCAAAAAUACUAAUAAUGGUCAUAACGUGCUGAAAUUUAUAAUAAUAAUUUAGCAAAUUUGUCUAAACAUAUAGCAACAAAAAUCGGACAUAUCGAUCGGCUAUAUCCUAUAGCUCCCAUAGGAACAAUCGAUACCUAAUUAUAAAAACAUAUUUGUUUAAUCUAAUUUAUUACGAUUUUGGUAUGGAAGAUAUUUUUCGUAGUUAUACAUAUUCUUAAAAAACUAAAAUAAAAAUCAACAAACAAAAUAUAAAUGAAACAAAAAUUAUAAAGCAUCAUCAAGUAAUUCGUAGACAGAUGUAAGCAAACUCGACCUAUCUUUUUUAGGAAGUUGUCUCUGUCCUGUUAAAAAUGGAUCUGAACGCAAUAAUAAAUAGUUAAUGACAUCUGUGUUUGUUAAAGUAAGAGAUACUUUCCGACUGUGUUCUACAUUUUUUUAGUUCCUUGUUAUUGGAUUCUGCUGCUUCCUCUGAAAGCUCUCCUAUCGACACUAAUGCAUACUGUAUUACAGCUGAACCAUGAAUUAAGACCUUAUGGACGGUAGCCGGUAAAUAGUACCAUGGAUAUGCAGCUAUAAGAUAUUUGGCUGUAUCCAGCGCGUAAUUUUCAAAUUUCUCCACAUUAAUUUUGAAUCCCGAUGCCAUGGCUUGCAAUAAUGUUGCACAUCUGUGAAUCAAAGAUGCAUCGAUUCCUGUUAUUUCGGAGCUCAAAUCUGCAUUACAAAAGAAUUUCCUUGCGAUAUUUCCGUUGUUUGAAGAUCCUAUACCUCCAUCUCUAGGUUUGUCCACUAGUAUUCCCAUAAUUUCCGGCCCCGAUGAGCACUUUCCUCUAUUUGAUUUGAUUUGCAAUAGGGGCGUUUUAUUGAAAUUGAUUCUUUUUUAUUAAGCCAUCCAGAUUGAUAUUUAAUAACUGCAGAUUUUGUCCGUUUGUAAUUUUUCCAAAAAGUUACAAUUGUUUUGCAGAGGUUCUCAAUUUUAUUGGAUACUUUGCUCAACUCUGGAAUAAUGUAGCCGUUGUUUUCAAUAUCCGCUUGCACAUCGGAAAUCAAUUUCCUCAUUUUUUGGCGUUGGUUCCAUUACCUGUGCACCACAUAUUAAAAAUAUGCAGACGUGGAAAAACACAUUUUUGCGAUGCACCUAUCAAAAUCCAAAAUCAAAAUUUAAAUAAUAAUUUACAAAUUAAUAUUUUUGCAAAAACACAAACCACUAAAGACGAAGACAAAGCAACAGCGCAAAAGCGCAACAGCACAAUAAGCAAAGACUCACCUUUAACUGCUUUAGUAAUAUUAGUAGAAAACACACAUCGGCAAAUUUCGGCAGCUAAUUCUAAAAUAUUUAGUAACCUAAAAUAAGACGAUCACAAAAACAUACAUACCAAGUUCUGGGUUUUCUUGGAACAUAACUAAAAGUCUAACUAAACAUUAAAUAUACUUUCAAAAAAUACACAAAAAAGGGUUAUUCGAUCAAAUUAGUUUUACGAAAAAACUUUUUCAGGAAAGUUAAUUAUUAAUAUCUCAAUUUAAAGUAAAUAUGUACCUUCAAUUUCAUAAUUCAUGUUAAAUCAUUCAAAUCGGAGCAUUGCAGCGUACGACUGAUCACUUUAAAGGGCGAAUUGAAAGAGAGAAAUAACUUCCAAAGCGCAGCUGCGUUGCCAAAAUGAACACGUGCUCACGAUUGCAAAUCUAUUUUUAGAAAGUACCGUUAGAUUUCCAGUAAUAUCCGGUAUGCCAAAGAGAAGUUUGGACUUUUAAGAGACAAUUUUGAUACAUUUUGCUUAAAAAUAUGUCAUCACAUUUUUUGAUUUUUGGCCUCUGACGGAACCACUGUGCUUCGCUAGCAUGGGCAUAGUUGGCAUUUGCGAGAUCCAGAAUUCCAACUACAAAAUGG
Molecule: long non-coding RNA, 2641 nt
Organism: Drosophila nasuta
Lineage: Eukaryota; Metazoa; Arthropoda; Insecta; Diptera; Drosophilidae
Exons: 3
Source: RefSeq, a predicted model, not a curated record